GAUGAACGCUGGCGGCGUGCCUAAUACAUGCAAGUCGAGCGAACGGACGAGAAGCUUGCUUCUCUGAUGUUAGCGGCGGACGGGUGAGUAACACGUGGAUAACCUACCUAUAAGACUGGGAUAACUUCGGGAAACCGGAGAUAAUAACGGAUCAUAUUUUGAACCGCAUGGAUCAAAAGUGAAAGACGGUCUUGCUGUCACUUAUAGAUGGAUCCGCGCUGCAUUGGCGAGUUGGUAAGGUAACGGCUUACCAAGGCAACGAUGCAUACCCGACCGGAGGGGUGUAUCGGCCCCACUGGACCUGAGCCCCGGUCCAGCCUCCUACGGGAGGCAGCAGUAGGGAAUCUUCCGAAAUGGGCGAAGCCCUGUCGGAGCAACGCGGCGUGAGUGAGGAAGGUCUCCGGUUCGUAAAACUCUGUUAUUAGGGAAGAACAUAUGUGGAAGUAACUGUGCUCAUCUUGCCGGUACCUAAUCAGAAAGCCCCGGCUACCUCCGU
This 496-nucleotide ribosomal RNA is filed under the name uncultured bacterium. RNAcentral's name for it is "partial 16S ribosomal RNA". It matches the Rfam family "Bacterial small subunit ribosomal RNA", at positions 28 to 506 of the family's 1533-position model. The record is from RNAcentral.